RNAcentral lists this ribosomal RNA (253 nucleotides) under uncultured bacterium. Its description in RNAcentral is "partial 16S ribosomal RNA". It matches the Rfam family "Bacterial small subunit ribosomal RNA", at positions 524 to 776 of the family's 1533-position model. The record is from RNAcentral.
UACGUAGGUGACAAGCGUUGUCCGGAUUUACUGGGCGUAAAGAGCGCGCAGGCGGUCGUUCAAGUCGAGUGUGAAAGCCCCCGGCUCAACUGGGGAGGGUCACUCGAUACUGAUCGACUCGAAGGCAGGAGAGGGAAGUGGAAUUCCCGGUGUAGUGGUGAAAUGCGUAGAUAUCGGGAGGAACACCAGUGGCGAAGGCGACUUCCUGGCCUGUUCUUGACGCUGAGGCGCGAAAGCUGGGGGAGCAAACGGG